This 335-nucleotide unclassified non-coding RNA is filed under the name soil metagenome. Its description in RNAcentral is "partial contains 5.8S ribosomal RNA, internal transcribed spacer 2, and large subunit ribosomal RNA". The stretch from base 1 to 120 matches the Rfam family "5.8S ribosomal RNA", at positions 35 to 154 of the family's 154-position model. The record is from RNAcentral.
GAUGAAGAACGUAGCGAGAUGCGAUAAGUAAUGUGAAUUGCAGAAUUCAGUGAAUCAUCGAAUCUUUGAACGCACAUUGCGCCCAUUAGCAUUCUAGUGGGCAUGCCUGUUCGAGCGUCAUUUCAACCCUUAAGCCCUGUUGCUUAGCGUUGGGAGCCUACAGUACUGUAGCUCCCCAAAGUUAGUGGCGGAGUCGGUUUCACACUCUAGACGUAGUAAUUUUUUCUCGUCUGUAGUUGAGCCGGUCCCCUGCCGUAAAACACCCAAUUUAUCAAGGUUGACCUCGGAUCAGGUAGGAAUACCCGCUGAACUUAAGCAUAUCAAUAAGCGGAGGA